RNAcentral lists this non-coding RNA (23 nucleotides) under Arabidopsis thaliana (thale cress). Lineage: Eukaryota; Viridiplantae; Streptophyta; Magnoliopsida; Brassicales; Brassicaceae. The record is from RNAcentral. RNAcentral also lists the same sequence under 2 other names.
UGGUGGAGCGAUUUGUCUGGUUA